Molecule: ribosomal RNA, 154 nt
Filed under: Puccinia lagenophorae
Lineage: Eukaryota; Fungi; Basidiomycota; Pucciniomycetes; Pucciniales; Pucciniaceae
Description: 5.8S ribosomal RNA
Rfam family: 5.8S ribosomal RNA
About the family: 5.8S ribosomal RNA (5.8S rRNA) is a component of the large subunit of the eukaryotic ribosome. It is transcribed by RNA polymerase I as part of the 45S precursor that also contains 18S and 28S rRNA.
Source: RNAcentral
ACUUUUAACAAUGGAUCUCUAGGCUCUCAUAUCGAUGAAGAACACAGUGAAAUGUGAUAAGUAAUGUGAAUUGCAGAAUUCAGUGAAUCAUUGAAUCUUUGAACGCACCUUGCACCUUUUGGUAUUCCAAAAGGUACACCUGUUUGAGUGUCAU